This is a non-coding RNA of Schistosoma margrebowiei, 43 nucleotides long. Lineage: Eukaryota; Metazoa; Platyhelminthes; Trematoda; Strigeidida; Schistosomatidae. The record is from Rfam.
AUAGCUGACGAGUCCCAAAUAGGACGAAACGCGCGUCCUGGAU